CCACUAUUUCGGGGCGAGGUGAAAAUCCUCACCGGUGGUAAAGUCCACGACCCGACCUCCCAGGUCGGCUGAUUCGGUGCAAUUCCGAAACCGACGGUAAUUGGCAAACGCCAUAAGUCCGGAUGAGAGAAAUAAGGC
This 138-nucleotide non-coding RNA is filed under the name Clostridiales bacterium. Its description in RNAcentral is "FMN sequence". It matches the Rfam family "FMN riboswitch aptamer (RFN element)". Rfam says of the family: The RFN element is a highly conserved domain that is found frequently in the 5'-untranslated regions of prokaryotic mRNAs that encode for flavin mononucleotide (FMN) biosynthesis and transport proteins. The record is from RNAcentral. Lineage: Bacteria; Bacillati; Bacillota; Clostridia; Eubacteriales.